This 253-nucleotide ribosomal RNA is filed under the name uncultured bacterium. RNAcentral describes it as "partial 16S ribosomal RNA". It matches the Rfam family "Bacterial small subunit ribosomal RNA", at positions 524 to 776 of the family's 1533-position model. The record is from RNAcentral.
UACGGAGGGUGCGAGCGUUAUCCGGAAUUACUGGGGUUAAAGGGUGCGUAGGCGGCUAUGUAAGUCAGGAGUGAAAGUUUGCGGCUCAACCGUAAAAUUGCUUUUGAUACUGCAUGGCUAGAAUUAGGAUGAGGUCAGCGGAAUGUGGCAUGUAGCGGUGAAAUGCAUAGAUAUGCCAUAGAACACCAAUUGCGAAGGCAGCUGGCUAGACCUGGAUUGACGCUGAGGCACGAAAGCGUGGGGAGCGAACAGG